UUCAUACACAGUGCAAUGACGGUAACAUACAAGACAAAACAGAAAAAGGUUGCGCCAAAGCUGGCUAAAGUGCAGCUGAAAUGAACAAAGUCCAAAAUCUAAGUGGUGCCAAAACAAAGUAUUUUGUUGGGCCUGAUGAGGCAACGACAGCCUACGUGAAGGAGUAUUCUCUCUAAGGGUCGCUUGAAGAUGGUUUUACAGGAUCCGUAUGUAAAGAAAGAAACAAACAAUAGUGCAAAUUCGUCUGAUUUG
Non-coding RNA from Pelobates cultripes (western spadefoot toad), 252 nucleotides. NCBI's taxonomy places the organism in Eukaryota, Metazoa, Chordata, Amphibia, Anura, Pelobatidae. The record is from the annotation of a GenBank genome assembly.